GAUCUAGGGAUGGUUGGCAUGAGAAACAUUGAAGAAAACCAUCUCACACAAAAAGGUACAUGUUCAUUUUGUUCAAAAAAAAAUCAUUGCAAAUCAAGUUCAUCUAAAUAAAUCGUAUUACAAUGAGAAGGAAAGCACAAAAUGCAAGCUUGAUCGAUGUUUUCGAUGCAAAGUUGGACUUUGUUUGGUGGAAUCCUUGAUGAUGAAAUUUUCUUGACAGCAAUUGGUCUCCACUGAAGGACAUUGAGGAUGGCAUAAUCGAUUCCCUCAUCAAAAAAUCGUCUAUCUUCUAAAUAUUCCUUCUAGGAGGUUCUGAAAGCUAACUUGGGGG
Molecule: long non-coding RNA, 331 nt
Filed under: Elaeis guineensis (African oil palm)
Lineage: Eukaryota; Viridiplantae; Streptophyta; Magnoliopsida; Arecales; Arecaceae
Description: long non-coding RNA (EGUI_LNC001470)
Source: RNAcentral